RNAcentral lists this ribosomal RNA (320 nucleotides) under uncultured eukaryote. Its description in RNAcentral is "partial 18S ribosomal RNA". It matches the Rfam family "Eukaryotic small subunit ribosomal RNA", at positions 1470 to 1796 of the family's 1831-position model. The record is from RNAcentral.
CCCCUAGAUGUUCUGGGCCGCACGCGCGCUACACUGAACAGUUCAACAAGUCUUAACCUUGGCCGAUAGGCCUGGGUAAUCUUUGAACGCUGUUCGUGAUUGGGAUAGACCUUUGCAAUUAUGGGUCUUCAACGAGGAAUUCCUAGUAAACGCAAGUCAUCAGCUUGCAUUGAUUACGUCCCUGCCCUUUGUACACACCGCCCGUCGCACCUACCGAUUGAAUGGUCCGGUGAAAUCUCGGGACGGCGGCUUGGUCGCUUGCGUCCGACUGCUGAAACUUGAUUAAACCAUNUNAUUUAGNGGAAGGUGAANUCGUANCA